Molecule: ribosomal RNA, 354 nt
Filed under: Triticum aestivum (bread wheat)
Lineage: Eukaryota; Viridiplantae; Streptophyta; Magnoliopsida; Poales; Poaceae
Description: partial small subunit ribosomal RNA
Source: RNAcentral
AUGUCCCAGCAGAAUAUUUUAGAUGAGCUAUCAUCCUCUUUGUUUGAUCAAGUACAGGUGUACAAAAAUAAAAUGUUGGCCCACUUUGGUGAACUUGAAAGGGUUUCUAGCUACUGGGGUUCUUUCUUAUGUGAUGGAGAAGGCUCUUCUUUAGUCUCAGCUGCUCUUUUAGAAGCUGGACUUGCAGAGUAUAAGUAUGGUCGAGUUGAUGCUUCAAGAAUCGGAGCAUAUGUGAUCUUGCUAUUUACUUUCAGCAGAGUACACAACCGAAGGAUUUUUUCCCCCUGCUACGCAGUCCGAAGUCUCCUGCUGACAAUCACAUGCAUUGUUGCAUUCAAAAGAAGGAGGCAAUGA